This is a long non-coding RNA of Ipomoea triloba (trilobed morning glory), 1040 nucleotides long. RefSeq lists it as uncharacterized. Lineage: Eukaryota; Viridiplantae; Streptophyta; Magnoliopsida; Solanales; Convolvulaceae. The record is from RefSeq and is a predicted model, not a curated record. The transcript is spliced from 2 exons.
GGUAAUUUUCCUACAAAGCUUUUUAAGUAUUUUAAAGCCAUGGAAAAUGAAGAUCCACAACAGCAAAUGUACCUAAAUCAGAGCGACUACUAUCAAGAUUCAUUAGUGGUAGGAAUGAAGGGGCAAUUUCGUGAAAUUGUGAAAAUACUAGUCACGUUUACUGCUAUUGAUCUCUCAUGUAACAAAUUUGAAGGGCAUAUUCCAGAUAGUAUCGGAGGUCUUCUUGCACUACGUGAAUUAAAUUUAUCACAUAACAAGUUCACCGGACACAUCCCAGCAUCUCUUGGAAAUUUAUCUAUGUUGGAAUCCUUAGACCUUUCUUCGAAUCAAAUUGGUGGAGUUAUCCCUACGCAAUUGGCAUGUAUUACAACACUUGAAGUGUUAAAUCUCUCACAUAAUAAGUUAAUGGGAUGCAUACCUCAAAGCACACAAUUCAAUACAUUUGAAGUGAAUUCAUUCCAAGGAAAUGAUGGAUUGAAAGGAAAACCUUUAUCACGAGGUUGUGGGAAUGGCAUGACACCACACCCUCCAGCACCAAAGGAACUCCACCAAGAAGACGAUUCAAGUUUUUUGAGCGGAUGCACCGUAAAAGUUGUGGCAAUGGGGUACGGUUGUGGUAUUCUUUUUGGAUUAUUCAUGGGAAGUCUCAUGCUCCUAACUGGAAAGCCAGAAUUCAUUGCAAGGUUUGUUAAAGAAGAAGCAUACAAACUAGCAAUGAAGAUCAAACGAAGAAGAUCAAAAACAAGAAGGAGAAGAAACUAGCGUCAAUGCUCACUUGGCUUCUCUCCAGAUGACAAAUACUCAAGACACAGGAUAUUGUUGUUAAAUAAGUGGUUUGGUUUGGUUUGUUGCCGCCUCAUAAGUGGUUUGGUUUGUUGCUGACUCUUAAGCCACCUCCCAAUUCAAGUACUUUCGGCUUUCAUAUAUGAUCUAUCUCUAGUUAGUUGUUGUCACAUGUUAAUUUGAGUUGUAUGGCUUUGGUCUGAUACCAAAUGUUUCAAUUCAUGCAUGAUCAAUAAUGUCAAUAAGUUCAUGUCUUA